AACGAACGCUGGUGGCGUGCUUAACACAUGCAAGUCGAACGAGAAAGUUUCCUUCGGGAAAUUAGUAAAGUGGCGCAAGGGUGAGUAUCACGUGAAUAAUCUGCCCUCGAGAUCGGGAUAACAUGGUGAAAACUAUGCUAAUACCGGAUAAGACCACAUUUCAUAAGAAAUGCGGUAAAAGGAGUCUCAAUCUUCACUCGAGGAUGAGUUCGCGCAACAUUAGCUUGUUGGUGGGAUAAAAGCUCACCAAGGCUACGAUGUUUAGCCGGCCUGAGAGGGUGAUCGGCCACACUGGAACUGAGACACGGUCCAAACUUCUACGGAAGGCAGCAGUAGGGAAUCUUGCACAAUGGAGGAAACUCUGAUGCAGCGAUGCCGCGUGAGUGAAG
RNAcentral lists this ribosomal RNA (389 nucleotides) under uncultured Nitrospina sp. Its description in RNAcentral is "bacterial SSU rRNA". It matches the Rfam family "Bacterial small subunit ribosomal RNA", at positions 29 to 410 of the family's 1533-position model. The record is from RNAcentral. Lineage: Bacteria; Pseudomonadati; Nitrospinota; Nitrospinia; Nitrospinales; Nitrospinaceae.